CAGAAAUAUAAACAUUUAUAUAGAGAAACUUUUACAAAUUGAUUAGUGAACAGUAUUGAAAAUGUUUUUUUUUAGAAUGCAUUGUGCUUUGAUCAAUUUUUAAAGUUCAUUCAAUUUCUUCUUUUAAGGAGUGGAACUUCCUUUUGGUAUCAGUUAAUGCAAAUUUAAAGCAUAUUUGUUUAGUUUUGGCUAAAAUCUUAUAUGAACGUAUAGGAAGGCAUAGUUUGUAUAUUGAAGUUGGAAGAAGGUACAAACUUUAGAAUUGCAAAUCUUGGAUUUAAACUGUAGCAAUUUAAUUUCAAGUAUAUCGAGUAUUAAAAGAAGCUUAGAUAGACUAGCUGAUAAGAAAACAACACAUUAAGAAACUUAAAUGAUUAUAAAUAUGCAACUAGGAUACUGUAAAAGUGCUAGACUACAAAUAAAAGAUGUAGUAACAGUUAUUGGUGAUAUUGAACUAUCACAGUUUGGAAUAGAUUUAUUCCUUAAAGGUUCAAUUUAUUCAUUAUACAAACACCCUAAACUUAAUGUAUGUAUACCAUCAAUAGAAGCUUUGAUUCAGUCUCUUAAUGAUCUUGAAAAAAAGAAAGUUAGUUGGAAAACUAUUGAAUAACAAGCAAAAAAUACCAGAAAUAGCAAUACAGCUUUAAUAAGGAAAGAAAAUUCUUACAAGGGAACCUCGCACCCGAUGUGUCUGGGAUUGUGCCAAUGUUUUGUCAUCUGGGGGGGCAUAAAGAGUAGAUGAGGAAUCGCCC
This 752-nucleotide long non-coding RNA is filed under the name Androctonus crassicauda. The record is from RNAcentral. Lineage: Eukaryota; Metazoa; Arthropoda; Arachnida; Scorpiones; Buthidae.